This 497-nucleotide ribosomal RNA is filed under the name uncultured bacterium. RNAcentral describes it as "partial 16S ribosomal RNA". It matches the Rfam family "Bacterial small subunit ribosomal RNA", at positions 28 to 507 of the family's 1533-position model. The record is from RNAcentral.
GAUGAACGCUGGCGGCGUGCCUAAUACAUGCAAGUCGAGCGAACAGACGAGGAGCUUGCUCCUCUGACGUUAGCGGCGGACGGGUGAGUAACACGUGGAUAACCUACCUAUAAGACUGGGAUAACUUCGGGAAACCGGAGCUAAUACCGGAUAACAUGUUGAACCGCAUGGUUCAACAGUGAAAGACGGUCUUGCUGUCACUUAUAGAUGGAUCUGCGCCGCAUUAGCUAGUUGGUAAGGUAACGGCUUACCAAGGCAACGAUGCGUAGCCGACCUGAGAGGGUGAUCGGCCACACUGGAACUGAGACACGGUCCAGACUCCUACGGGAGGCAGCAGUAGGGAAUCUUCCGCAAUGGGCGAAAUCCUGACGGAGCAACGCCGCGUGAGUGAAGAAGGUCUUCGGAUCGUAAAACUCUGUUAUUAGGGAAGAACAAAUGUGUAAGUAACUAUGCACGUCUUGACGGUACCUAAUCAGAAAGCCACGGCUAACUACGUG